This is a non-coding RNA of Kogia breviceps (pygmy sperm whale), 408 nucleotides long. The record is from RefSeq and is a predicted model, not a curated record. NCBI's taxonomy places the organism in Eukaryota, Metazoa, Chordata, Mammalia, Artiodactyla, Physeteridae.
CUGCCUGUGCUUUCUAUCUUCUCUCCUGAUAAACACUUUACUUGCCUCACUACUUCUCAUCUCUUUGCUGAUUCUUUCUUCAAAGCAGAUGAGAGCCAGGGCCCUGCUCCUCGCCAAUAGUCCCUGGUGGUCUAGUGGUUAGAAUUCGGAGCUUUCACUGCUGUGGUCUGGGUUCAAUUCCCAGGGAACUGAGAUCCCACUUCAAGCUGCUGAUCUCUGUGGUCGCUCACAGCCACCUGAGAUCAGGGCUUCCUAAUGGGUGUGCAGUGGUGUCUCGUGGGUUUGAUUUGCGUUUCCCUGAUGACCAUCUUGAGUGUCUUGAAAAUGAGAAGCCCGUGCACCAUAAUGAAGAGUAGCCCCGGCUUGCCACAACUAGAGAAAGCCCACGCACAGCAGCGAAGACCCAGU